CUUGCAGAAGCAGAGGAGAAACGCGUGGGGGCCGGAAGGAAAGGCACUGAGAAAAGCAAUUGCAGGGCCCACAGCUGCCAGCAGAGCAGGAAGCUCUUAGGAUUCCUGCUGUGUGGAUUCAGAGGGAGAUCAGCUGGGAAGCAGGGAGAGGUGACAUCGUGGCUCUGAAUCCUUUCCAGCAAUCUGCUCUGAUGUUCUGACAAGGACCUGCCAGAAGAGGGCUGGAAACUCCGGGCAGAUCCCUUAGACGAAUGAUAACCAUCAGACAAACAGUGCACGGAUCUGAUGCCAGCGCAGCCUGAUGCAACACCUCUGUGCCUCCGCUCCGGGCUGUGCUCUGCUCUGCAGCCCGCACCUCUCCUUGCAGCUUCUUAAAGAGACCGCUGUCCCUCUGAAAGCGCCCUGCAGAGCGAGUUCAGCCUAAAAAAAUCCCAAGGAAAGAAAAACAUCACACUCUGCAAGGUGGCAAGAGACAUGGGAAAGUUCACACCCACUGGCACACGCUGCCUGUGCCCGGCCCUGUGAAGUGUCAGCUCCAGCACGGCCCUAACGAGCUGCUGAGGCAUUGGGUCCCACCCUGUGUCUGUUUAUCCAUGCCUUGGUGCAGUGGCAGUGUUGUCCCGUGGUCCUCUUGUCUAGGGAAGGGGAAGUGGUGCUCCUCCAGUGUGGCUGCAACUCUUGGUUAUGAGCUCCUGUUUGCAGGCAUGUGAAUGAUGGCACAAAUCUCUUCCUCUCUGUGCAUGGCAGUGCCACUCCUUGCUGGGCCAUGCAUUGCAGGAGUGCAGCUGAGGCCAAGGCCUGCUGCUUCCUGCUCCCUCAUUGGGACUUUCCUCUGGGGCAGCUUUGAGGAGUGGGGAUGAAAGGCGGCACAGUGGAAGCACGAAGCUCGCCUGGUUUAUUUUAUUUAUAACUGGCGUCUGCUUGAAAGGAAGCCGCCACUAUCAGCUCCAGCACCGCUGGGUUAAAUGAGUAAAUGAAAGAGGAGUUUUGCGUAUAUUCUGGAGCUCAAGUUUGCUCUUAUAUGGGCAUCCCACCAGGCGCUGCUUGCUGGUACCUUGCUGCUUGUGGUGUGGGACAUUCAGGCUCCAGCAGUGAGCCAGGGAGCUCUCUGUGUGACAAGCAGGAGGCAACAGAGGGUGGAUGAGCUCAGGCUGCAGCCACCUCCAUUCCCCUGGCCCAGGUUGGCUGCAUGCUCUGGCCCUGCUGCAGUCAGGGCAUGGAUGUUCUGUCAGAAAGCCAGGCUUGGUGCAGGGUGUGUUUACCACCCAGGGUUCCUUGAGCCAAUAUUUGAUCAGCCAUAAGUAUUUGCCCUGCUGUGUUUGCUGGUUUAUCCCUUCCAAACUCCCCAGGAAGACACCUGCCUCCUUCUCCCCAGGAUGGAUGGGGAGGAGCAGUGCUGGUGCAGGGUCCCUGUGGUCCCCAGUGUCAGAGUGUGGGUGCUGUGUGUGGCCCCCGUGGGAUCUCUGAGUCAUGGCUAAAGCAAUGACAGAGCCCUGGGAUGGAGAGGGGAGAAAUGCGAGCCCUCCCUUCUCCACUGCAGUCUGGAUGCGGGGAAUUUCUGCUUCCUGGGGAUGGAGUCAGGUUUGGCAAAGCCCAUUCCAUCCCCUGCAGCCUCAUCAAAAAGUACUGUCAAUCCAGAAGCACUUCCCAGGUGAGGUGAGGCUUUGAGGGCCAGGUUUCCUUGGUCUAAGUGGCUCUGAUUUGGUGCUGAGUGAUUUACUACCCUAAAAAGCCAGGAGAGGAGGCACAACUGUGGAGGGGUUGCAGCUUGGCCGCAGGCUUUCACUCCCACAAGUAACAGCACGACGGCCUCUUGCUAAUGCUUCCCCUGCAAGCCCCAUGCCAGCUCCUUGGACAGGGACCCACGUGGCAACAGGCCUGAGCACGGCACAGGCAGCCACGUUCCACAUAUCAUCAAAGGCUGCAUUCCUCCCCGGGAGCUGUGCGUGGGAUGGAGCCGCAGUCGUGCGCCUGCAGCUGCUGUUGGGGAGGAGGCAGAGGAGGGGGAAGCCCGGAGCUGGGUAAAAGGAGGGAGCUGAUCUCCUUUCCUGAGGUUUGAGUAUACAUCAGACACAGGUGCAUCCAUUGAGCUGGAGCUCUGGAAGCUCUUGGCAGGUUCCAUGUGGAUGGUUUGUGUGUGGGGACAUCGGGAUGCGUGGAUCCCACCAGCUCUUUGCAAGGCUUGUUGGCAUAAGGAAUCACAGUGGCAUGCAGGGAUCACACAGACCUUCCAAUGUUCAAGAUUGAAACCCUGACAACAACUAUCCUAGAGGCUGUGUCCAUCCCAGCCCCUGCAGCGAUGGGGGUAUGAUACACAGGAGAUGAGUGUACAGAAGGGCUUUUUUGGCUUGGCAGGCCCUUCUGAAGGGGAUCAAUACCAGCAAGACUCCAGACAAUGAUCUGCCUGACUACCAAGUCAGCAAACCCUGAGCUUGGAGUCUUGGUCCUCACCACGUGAGAUGUGACCUCUGCUGCUUGGGGCUGGCAUCGGGGUGUUGCAGCGAGCUGCGAGGCAGUGGGGGGGAGGAUGCAGCUUUCUGCUAUUUUGGAGAGCAGGGAGGAAGAGGAAGGGCUGCUGACAAAGAUUGAAACUCGAAAAAUGACGAUGGUGUCAAAAAAAACGUCCUCCCAUUUGGGGAACCAAGUGUAUUUGUUUCCUGAUGUGAUCAGGAUAGCUCAGACUGAGAGAAGCACGUUCAUGUCACUGACUUGUAACAUCCCAAGUUGGGUGGGUUUUGGGGAUGGAGCAAAGUCUACCAGUCUCACUCCCUCCAGACCCACACAGGGCCUGAAAGACCUCUUCAGCCAAACACCUAAACCCGAAGCCUGAAUCCUUUCUCUCCUCUCCCCCAGCAGCCCUUAGCUGUGCCACCAUGCAGGGCUUGCUACCAGCACCAGCUGCCUGGUGGUAGAGCCUCAGAACCCAGGCUGCACCAGGUUAAGCCAAGAUGGCAGCUGGUGGCACCACAUUUUCCUUCCCUCUAGCCCUGUUUGCUGUUGCUCAUCCUGCUGCUCACCCUGAUCCCCCUCGGGAGUUCUGCUUCCCUCUGCCCCUUCCCGCAGAGAGACUCCCUGACCCUCC
This is a non-coding RNA of Phasianus colchicus (ring-necked pheasant), 3082 nucleotides long. NCBI's taxonomy places the organism in Eukaryota, Metazoa, Chordata, Aves, Galliformes, Phasianidae. The record is from RefSeq and is a predicted model, not a curated record.